Molecule: ribosomal RNA, 255 nt
Filed under: Lacticaseibacillus paracasei
Lineage: Bacteria; Bacillati; Bacillota; Bacilli; Lactobacillales; Lactobacillaceae
Description: partial 16S ribosomal RNA
Rfam family: Bacterial small subunit ribosomal RNA
Source: RNAcentral
ACGGGAGGCAGCAGUAGGGAAUCUUCCACAAUGGACGCAAGUCUGAUGGAGCAACGCCGCGUGAGUGAAGAAGGCUUUCGGGUCGUAAAACUCUGUUGUUGGAGAAGAAUGGUCGGCAGAGUAACUGCUGCCGGCGUGACGGUAUCCAACCAGAAAGCCACGGCUAACUACGUGCCAGCAGCCGCGGUAAUACGUAGGUGGCAAGCGUUAUCCGGAUUUAUUGGGCGUAAAGCGAGCGCAGGCGGUUUUUUAAGU